Molecule: ribosomal RNA, 110 nt
Filed under: uncultured bacterium
Lineage: Bacteria
Description: partial 16S ribosomal RNA
Source: RNAcentral
CUCGGAUACGAGCGUAGGGAUACACCUGGUAAAGGGCACGCCUCGUGGGGGUGCGAAUUCGCCCUUGGGAUAUCCGUGAUUAAUACUGGUUUUACCUUGUAAUCUGUAUC